CACACUUUAUUAAUAUUAUGAGCAAAAUAAAGAAGUGAAAAAUUGUUCAACUUUGAUCCAUUUUAAAAAUGGGUUUUUAAUCAUAAUUAAGCCAUUUUAGCCAAAUUUUAAAAACUAUCAGCAAUAGUUCCUUAGAAAUUUGCCACAGAGUUGUGGGCGGGACAAUCGGUGCAGAGCAAUUCCGCCCCACUUCCCAUCACUCAUCCGUAUACAAACUCUCCCGCUAGCUUACAGCCCUCACAACCUCAAGCUAGCAUAAACGGUGCAACAAAAACCGUGAGCAAUAUUGGAGUUACCCAACAGUUUUGAGAUCAGAUUCAAGCUCGGAGGAGGAAAACAAAACAAAACAAAAACAAAAAAGACGCUAAUGGUUCUAAUUGUCUGCAAGUGGAUCAAUCAGAAUGGAGCUUUUGGCCCCGCCCAUUGUAUUUUCUACAUCCCAAAUACAAUCUUUUUCUAAAAAGUAAUUUUUUUCAUCCUAAUUCAGAAUUAUGUUGAUUUUUUUUUUUUUAUUGGAGUGGGUCUUUAAGCUUUUUCCUGCAUCUUUGUCUGGUAAACGUGUGCAAAAAUGUUUGGUUUAAUAUAUCUAGGUUUUAUCAAACAUUUGUUGGUGUUUCCGUCACAGUUGAUCCUGUUGUGGAACAGAAACAUGGAACUCUCAUCUCCUGACACACUGAACUGGAUUGUCUCAUUAACAUGACAGUGGCGGUUAUGAAGGCUGAGCGACUGCUGCGAAACUCCAGAGACUGUUGCCACGGUAGCCCGGGGGUUGCUAGGAUACCAGUAAAUAGGGGGUAUUCAUGCUUCCCCACCCCUCUUAGAGGGGGAGUCAAAGCAGCAGCUUUGUCUGCGGGGAAGGAGAUGAGCGAGAUGGAACGUCCAGAGAUGAUCCCGCUGAGUCAGCAGCAGAGAACCAGCUCAGUCCAGGUUUCUGCUUCACCUCUAAACCUCCAAAUAUCCGCCAUGGAGCGCCGCUGCUGACAGCGCCGCUUCCUGCCCCUCACUGUGCGCCUGUCAGCGUCCCCACGCCGCGAGUCUCUGGUCGACACCGGCACGGCAAGAACACGCUCGUCCCCCGCACACGGUACGGGGAGGGGUGCGUUUGGGUCUUUGGAGCCCGCUCCGGUGCCGGUUCUGUUUGUGGUUCUCGAGCGGCCGCAUCAGUUGCGGAUGGAGGGAGAGGCUGUCAAAGAUUCGGCUAUUUUAUGCAAAGAUCGUCAAUCUCUAGGAGGAACCCUCACUCUGCAAACGUAAAAAAUACGUCUACAAAAUAAAA
This is a long non-coding RNA of Oryzias melastigma (Indian medaka), 1276 nucleotides long. RefSeq lists it as uncharacterized. The transcript is spliced from 2 exons. The record is from RefSeq and is a predicted model, not a curated record. Lineage: Eukaryota; Metazoa; Chordata; Actinopteri; Beloniformes; Adrianichthyidae.